Long non-coding RNA from Aedes aegypti (yellow fever mosquito), 790 nucleotides. RefSeq lists it as uncharacterized. The record is from RefSeq and is a predicted model, not a curated record. The transcript has 2 exons. Lineage: Eukaryota; Metazoa; Arthropoda; Insecta; Diptera; Culicidae.
ACAAUCUAAAAUGGAUGAUGCGGCUUUUAUAUUAUCACGAUUGACGAAAAGAAACGGUCGCUUCGUAAUCUUUCGGACGUCGGCAAUUUUCGGAAGCUUUCUAACUAGAAUUCAGCCUAGGUUACACUUUUGCUUCUAGUACUUCAAUCACCCUAAUUCGCCUACCAUAGCCUUUUUCGUCCAACAUAGCCGGCCACCUAAAUUUGAAAGCUCAAAUUUACCUAAACAGAACGCCAUAAUGGAAGAUGAUUUGCAAAGCAUCAGUUCCAUCAAAUUAAUGCAAUUUUCGACGGAAGUGUGCGACCCGCUGUAGAAAUUCGAUGAUACUGUCCCGAUUGCGUACGAGACCCUUGUACUUCCUCAACGUCGACAUGUUGAUUACUCCGACCAGAUGUAGAGAAAGCAAGUUACACCAGUGAGCAACUGUAAAAAAUACGCCCAGCGAAGCACCUUCCAGACAAGAAUGUAAUUUGAUGGACAGGAACUCACCUGGUGAGCCUGUCAAACAGGCCUUGUAUCAAAUCGUUACUCCGACCAGAUGUAGCAACUGUAAAAAAUAUGCCCAGCGAAGCACCUUCCAGAUAAGAAUGUAAUUUGAUGGACAGGAACUCACCUGGUGAGCCUGUCAAAUCAGGCCUUGUAUUAAAUCGUGGUCUCUGGAGUGCGCAGCGACAGUGUAAGGCGUAUGCGUAUAGAAUCUUCCUCAAAGAACCCUCAUCAACGGUUCAGAGUCAACCAGAUGUAAUAAAGCGAUGAUGGAUGACGUCACACAGUCGUGUCCAAGCGUGAA